CGCGAUCACGAAGCCCUGACGAGUAGGAGGGUCGCGGCGGUGAGCGCAGAAGGGCUGGCCGCGAGGCCGUCUGGAGCCGCCGUCGGUGCAGAUCUUGGUGGUAGUAGCAAAUACUCCAGCGAGGCCCUGGAGGACUGACGUGGAGAAGGGUUUCGUGUGAACAGCCGUUGCACACGAGUCAGUCGAUCCUAAGCCCUAGGCGAAAGCCGAUGUCGAUGCGGUGUAGAUUUAUAUCGAUAUAUCGCGUAGUAGCAGCAGCGAGUACUAUAUAAAUUCGCGCGCGCGUACGCGUACGUAUAAAUUUUCGUACACACCCGUCGGGCGAAAGGGAAUCCGGUUCCUAUUCCGGAACCUGGCAGCG
This 361-nucleotide ribosomal RNA is filed under the name Acallorneuma doderoi. RNAcentral describes it as "eukaryotic LSU rRNA". It matches the Rfam family "Eukaryotic large subunit ribosomal RNA", at positions 1359 to 1633 of the family's 3401-position model. The record is from RNAcentral. Lineage: Eukaryota; Metazoa; Arthropoda; Insecta; Coleoptera; Curculionidae.